GCGUAGGUGGUUUGUUAAGGUGGGGGUGAAAUCCCCGGGCUCAACCUGGGAACUGCCUCCAAAACUGGCUGACUAGAGUACGGUAGAGGGUGGUGGAAUUUCCUGUGUAGCGGUGAAAUGCGUAGAUAUAGGAAGGAACACCAGUGGCGAAGGCGACCACCUGGACUGAUACUGACACUGAGGUGCGAAAGCGUGGGGAGCAAACAGG
RNAcentral lists this ribosomal RNA (208 nucleotides) under uncultured bacterium. Its description in RNAcentral is "partial 16S ribosomal RNA". It matches the Rfam family "Bacterial small subunit ribosomal RNA", at positions 569 to 776 of the family's 1533-position model. The record is from RNAcentral.